GCUACUGCUACUACUGUAUAAGCAGGGAGGGAGAGGGAGAGUGAUGGAUGGUUAUACCGUGCAUCUGGCCAUGGCAGCGCUGGUGGGGGCUUCACUGGUGGCGGGAUCUGCGNUGCGUAUUAUAUGCACCGCAAAACCCUAACACAGUUGCUAGAGUUUGCCAAGACGGUUGAGAGAGAAAGAGAGAGGGAGAGGGAAUAUAACUCCGAUGUAGACUCGCCACAGCAUUUGAAGAAGCGCCGUAGCCAUGGACGGAGGAAGGGGAACGGCUAUUACCG
Molecule: unclassified non-coding RNA, 278 nt
Filed under: Hevea brasiliensis (rubber tree)
Lineage: Eukaryota; Viridiplantae; Streptophyta; Magnoliopsida; Malpighiales; Euphorbiaceae
Source: RNAcentral